RNAcentral lists this ribosomal RNA (213 nucleotides) under sponge bacterium UR3. Its description in RNAcentral is "partial 16S ribosomal RNA". It matches the Rfam family "Bacterial small subunit ribosomal RNA", at positions 304 to 534 of the family's 1533-position model. The record is from RNAcentral.
UCAGCAACACUGGGACUGAGACACGGCCCAGACUCCUACGGGAGGCAGCAGUGGGGAAUCUUGGACAAUGGGGGCAACCCUGAUCCAGCCAUGCCGCGUGAGUGAUGAAGGCCUUAGGGUCGUAAAGCUCUUUCGCCUGUGAAGAUAAUGACGGUAGCAGGUAAAGAAACCCCGGCUAACUCCGUGCCAGCCGCCGCGGUAAUACGGAGGGGG